ACCAUUGUCGUCUUAGUGGUUUAGGAUACCAGGUUUUCAUCAUUUCAAUAUGAAAUCCCUGGGGACCAGAGUUCGAACCUCUGCAAUGGUG
Molecule: non-coding RNA, 91 nt
Organism: Xylariaceae sp. FL0662B
Lineage: Eukaryota; Fungi; Ascomycota; Sordariomycetes; Xylariales; Xylariaceae
Source: the annotation of a GenBank genome assembly